This 301-nucleotide ribosomal RNA is filed under the name uncultured bacterium. RNAcentral's name for it is "partial 16S ribosomal RNA". It matches the Rfam family "Bacterial small subunit ribosomal RNA", at positions 509 to 807 of the family's 1533-position model. The record is from RNAcentral.
CAGUAGCCACGGUAAUGCGAAGGGUGCAAGCGUUAAUCGGAAUUACUGGGCGUAAAGCGUGCGUAGGCGGUGAGUUAAGUCUGCUGUGAAAUCCCCGGGCUCAACCUGGGACCUGCAUUUGUGACUGUAUAGCUAGAGUACGGUAGAGGGGGAUGGAAUUCCGCGUGUAGCAGUGAAAUGCGUAGAUAUGCGGAGGAACACCGAUGGCGAAGGCAAUCCCCUGGACCUGUACUGACGCUCAUGCACGAAAGCGUGGGGAGCAAACAGGAUUAGAUACCCCAGUAGUCCCUGUCUCUUAUAC